Molecule: ribosomal RNA, 426 nt
Filed under: Actinomycetes bacterium
Lineage: Bacteria; Bacillati; Actinomycetota; Actinomycetes
Description: Actinobacteria bacterium partial 16S ribosomal RNA
Rfam family: Bacterial small subunit ribosomal RNA
Source: RNAcentral
UAGGGAAUCUUCCGCAAUGGGCGAAAGCCUGACGGAGCAACGCCGCGUGAGUGAUGAAGGUCUUCGGAUCGUAAAACUCUGUUAUUAGGGAAGAACAAAUGUGUAAGUAACUAUGCACGUCUUGACGGUACCUAAUCAGAAAGCCACGGCUAACUACGUGCCAGCAGCCGCGGUAAUACGUAGGUGGCAAGCGUUAUCCGGAAUUAUUGGGCGUAAAGCGCGCGUAGGCGGUUUUUUAAGUCUGAUGUGAAAGCCCACGGCUCAACCGUGGAGGGUCAUUGGAAACUGGAAAACUUGAGUGCAGAAGAGGAAAGUGGAAUUCCAUGUGUAGCGGUGAAAUGCGCAGAGAUAUGGAACACCAGUGGCGAAGGCGACUUUCUGGUCUGUAACUGACGCUGAUGUGCGAAAGCGUGGGGAUCAAACAGG